UACAGAGGGUUCAAGCGUUAAUCGGAAUUACUGGGCGUAAAGGGCGCGUAGGCGGUUAUAUAAGUGAGAUGUGAAAACCCUGGGCUUAACCUAGGAACGUCAUCUUAUACUGUAUGACUAGAGUACUGUAGAGGGUAGUGGAAUUUCCGGUGUAGCGGUGAAAUGCGUAGAGAUCGGAAGGAACACCAGUGGCGAAGGCGGCUACCUGGGCAGAUACUGACGCUGAGGCGCGUAAGCGUGGGGAGCAAACAGG
RNAcentral lists this ribosomal RNA (253 nucleotides) under uncultured bacterium. Its description in RNAcentral is "partial 16S ribosomal RNA". It matches the Rfam family "Bacterial small subunit ribosomal RNA", at positions 524 to 776 of the family's 1533-position model. The record is from RNAcentral.